GUGGGGAAUAUUGGACAAUGGGCGCAAGCCUGAUCCAGCCAUGCCGCGUGAGUGAUGAAGGCCUUAGGGUUGUAAAGCUCUUUCAGUGGGGACGAUAAUGACGGUACCCACAGAAGAAGCCCCGGCUAACUUCGUGCCAGCAGCCGCGGUAAUACGAAGGGGGCUAGCGUUGUUCGGAUUUACUGGGCGUAAAGCGCACGUAGGCGGAUCGUUAAGUCGGGGGUGAAAUCCUGGAGCUCAACUCCAGAACUGCCUUCGAUACUGGCGAGCUUGAGUCCGGAAGAGGUGAGUGGAACUCCUAGUGUAGAGGUGGAAUUCGUAGAUAUUAGGAAGAACACCAGUGGCGAAGGCGGCUCACUGGUCCGGUACUGACGCUGAGGUGCGAAAGCGUGGGGAGCAAACAGGAUUAGAAACCCUAGUAGUCC
Molecule: ribosomal RNA, 425 nt
Filed under: uncultured bacterium
Lineage: Bacteria
Description: partial 16S ribosomal RNA
Rfam family: Bacterial small subunit ribosomal RNA
Source: RNAcentral